GCCACCCAGGCACCCCUGAAAUAUACUUCUAUGUUGAAAAAAUAAUAAUAAAGCAAGAAGCAGGAAAGUUGUUGGGCCAUCUUUCAGAUUAGACGAAGAGCUGGUCUCUCCGGACUUCACUAUACCACUGAAUCUGAGCCUGCGUGCUAAGCAUCCACAUACAUCCAACAAAGAAGCCGCGGUGAACAGGGGAGAGGAGCCAAUGCAGUCAGGGAUAAAAAAUGCCUUUGUAAAGUCUGGAAGCCCCCCGCCCGGAGUCCCAGGGGAGGGCGCACCUGCUCUAUGUGCAUGUUCUCCAGGAGCGCACUCUGCGGCUGCAGGGUUGGCAGGGCCACCUCCUCAUCGUCUUCGUAGUAACUGCACGUGCUCUUCCUGCGCUUCGCCUCCUCAACAGUGAUGAUCUGGAAUGGAGAAGACAGGCCCCCAAAAGCUGCAACAGGCUCACAGCACUGCCAAGACUCUGCUCCAUGCUGGGCUGCAUCACUGGGCGGCUGUGUCACCUCAGCUGUGCUUCUGGGGGAUGGUUCCUCACUGGCUUCAAUGGAAAAGACAGAAGCCCUGAAUGGCCUCCCUCCUGUCUCAGGGGGUAGGCUCUAUCUCUGCUGCCAACAAAGUCACUCCAACCUUGGGAAGCCUCAGAACUCUCCAACUGACAAAACUGGAGGGUUGAGGGAUAUAAAACCUGAUAAAAAAAAAAAUCUGAGUUGACAUAUGUGGAACUUGAGAAACCCAGCAGAAGACCAUGGGGGAAAGGAAGGAAAAAAUGGUUUCAAACAGAGAAUGAAGCAAACCCAUAAGAGACUCUUAAAUACAGAGAAAAAACUGAAGGUUGAU
Molecule: long non-coding RNA, 834 nt
Organism: Suricata suricatta (meerkat)
Lineage: Eukaryota; Metazoa; Chordata; Mammalia; Carnivora; Herpestidae
Exons: 5
Source: RefSeq, a predicted model, not a curated record